AUUGAACGCUGGCGGCAGGCUUAACACAUGCAAGUCGAACGAGUGGCGAACGGGUGAGUAACGCAUCGGAACGUACCGAGUAAUGGGGGAUAACUGUCCGAAAGGACAGCUAAUACCGCAUAUUAUUCGAGCGGCCGAUGUCUGAUUAGCUGGUUGGCGGGGUAAAGGCCCACCAAGGCGACGAUCAGUAGCGGGUCUGAGAGGAUGAUCCGCCACACUGGGACUGAGACACGGCCCAGACUCCUACGGGAGGCAGCAGUGGGGAAUUUUGGACAAUGGGCGCAAGCCUGAUCCAGCCAUGCCGCGUGUCUGAAGAAGGCCUUCGGGUUGUAAAGGACUUUUGUCAGGGAAGCGGUACCUGAAGAAUAAGCACCGGCUAACUACGUGCCAGCAGCCGCGGUAAUUC
This 406-nucleotide ribosomal RNA is filed under the name uncultured bacterium. RNAcentral's name for it is "partial 16S ribosomal RNA". It matches the Rfam family "Bacterial small subunit ribosomal RNA", at positions 30 to 526 of the family's 1533-position model. The record is from RNAcentral.